This 238-nucleotide long non-coding RNA is filed under the name Elaeis guineensis (African oil palm). Its description in RNAcentral is "long non-coding RNA (EGUI_LNC065388)". The record is from RNAcentral. Lineage: Eukaryota; Viridiplantae; Streptophyta; Magnoliopsida; Arecales; Arecaceae.
CAUCAGUAAACGUGAUGAAGUAAGAGUAUCCUCCUAUGUCUUGAGUCGAUAUUAGACCACAUACAUUAGAUGUAUAAGGUCUAAAAUAUCACUCACCCGAUCUCCAUAUCCAGUAAAUGGAGUCUUGAUUAUUUUUUUCAUGAGGUAAGAUUCACAAGUUCCAUAUGAUUCAUAAUCAUAAAGAUCAAAAAAAUUAUCUUUGUAUAACUUAUUAAUCCUUGACUUAUUUAUAUGGCCA